Molecule: ribosomal RNA, 497 nt
Filed under: uncultured bacterium
Lineage: Bacteria
Description: partial 16S ribosomal RNA
Rfam family: Bacterial small subunit ribosomal RNA
Source: RNAcentral
GAUGAACGCUGGCGGCGUGCCUAAUACAUGCCAGUCGAGCGAACAGAUGAGGAGCUUGCUCCUCUGACGUUAGCGGCGGACGGGUGAGUAACACGUGGAUAACUUACCUAUAAGACUGGGAUAACUUCGGGAAACCGGAGCUAAUACCGGAUAAUAUAUUGAACCGCAUGGUUCAAUAGUGAAAGACGGUUUUGCUGUCACUUAUAGAUGGAUCCGCGCCGCAUUAGCUAGUUGGUAAGGUAACGGCUUACCAAGGCAACGAUGCGUAGCCGACCUGAGAGGGUGAUCGGCCACACUGGAACUGAGACACGGUCCAGACUCCUACGGGAGGCAGCAGUAGGGAAUCUUCCGCAAUGGGCGAAAGCCUGACGGAGCAACGCCGCGUGAGUGAUGAAGGUCUUCGGAUCGUAAAACUCUGUUAUUAGGGAAGAACAAAUGUGUAAGUAACUAUGCACGUCUUGACGGUACCUAAUCAGAAAGCCACGGCUAACUACGUG